CCUACGGGAGGCUGCAGUGAGGAAUAUUGGUCAAUGGACGAGCGUCUGAACCAGCCAAGUAGCGUGAAGGAUGACUGCCCUAUGGGUUGUAAACUUCUUUUAUAUGGGAAUAAAAUGUUCCACGUGUGGGAUUUUGUAUGUACCAUAUGAAUAAGGAUCGGCUAACUCCGUGCCAGCAGCCGCGGUAAUACGGAGGAUCCGAGCGUUAUCCGGAUUGAUUGGGUUUAAAGGGAGCGUAGGUGGAGUGUUAAGUCAGUUGUGAAAGUUUGCGGCUCAACCGUAAAAUUGCAGUUGAAACUGGCAGUCUUGAGUACAGUAGAGGUGGGCGGAAUUCGUGGUGUAGCGGUGAAAUGCUUAGAUAUCACGAAGAACUCCGAUUGCGAAGGCAGCUCACUGGACUGCAACUGACACUGAGGCUCGAAAGUGUGGGUAUCAAACAGGAUUAGAGACCCGGGUAGUC
RNAcentral lists this ribosomal RNA (460 nucleotides) under uncultured bacterium. RNAcentral's name for it is "partial 16S ribosomal RNA". It matches the Rfam family "Bacterial small subunit ribosomal RNA", at positions 338 to 795 of the family's 1533-position model. The record is from RNAcentral.